AGUGACUUGAUCUCGGCGCUGGCAGAUGGUGGAGCUAUCAGAGCUGCAGCUGCCUUGGCUGCACACAUCCCUCUCGAGGGAGCUUUCCAGUCAUUUAGCUCCACUGCGGACUCAGAGCCAAAAUUAACAGUCUCCGGUGGGCCCUCAAAGCUCACCACCCACCCAAACACUCUGGCUUGCUGUCAUUCAACAGAUAGCCAGUGGGGAGCGGGGCCCAGACUCACCCUCCCUGCCCACCACCCGCAAGAGGAAACAGCACCACCACCUCUUGUGCCACAGCUGGGCCGGUCCCAGGAAGAAGCCAGCUGGGACUUGGAGUGACAAGCCUUCCCUCUGAUGUGUGUGCAGGGGGUGCCUGGUACAGAGGGACAGCAACCACAGAGCACUGCAGACGCCAAGACAUGCCUGCCUUAAUCUGAGGGCCCCACACGAGCCGGCUCAGGCCUCCUCUUCCUUCGUACCUCCCUCGAAGCCUGGGAUUCUGGGCAGUGAGUGCUCCAGCAGCUGACUGACUCCCAUGGGUCUGAACACCACCAGCCAGACAAGGCUUUCAGCGCUAAAUGACAUACUUUGGGGGCAGCAGCUAUGAUGUCACCUUUAUAAACCCACAUGCUGGACUCGGAGCUGUCAUAUUGUCUACUAAAUCCCUCAGAAGGAGGAAGUCUGAAUCGAGAUGGAUUUCAAAUGUUCGUUUCCAGUCAAACGGACUUAAAACUGUGCAUGUGAGGAGGAGUUCAAGGAAGUCAGCCUUGUUCUCCUGGAGGAGAAGCCUCGGGGUUUCAUGCUAGUCGCCUUUCAGCAGGAGCCAGGCUGUCGUGGAGGGGAGAGCUGAGACUCCAUCCUGUUGCUCCAUGGGGUAAAAGCAGAGCCAGUUGUUAUCAACCCAAUGUGGACAGACUCCAGCUCAACAGAAGAAAAGCCAGGGACCUUGAGACCCUCUGAGCAUCCUGUAGCUGUAAGGGUAUAAGUGAAACGUUGCCCAACUUGUAGAGGAGAUUUAAACAUGGAAAGGGGAGAGAAGAAGGCAUUGGAGGGGAGAGAAAUGAGAGUGGACCAGAUGGCCUUCAAACUCUUUCUAGCCCUGAAGAAUCUGACCAUUACUAUAGAAAGAAAAUGGCGCAAAACAGCAAGAGACUUCAAAGCCCCUGAGAACAAUUGUCCUAAUGAUGGAAGUCUGGAGAGGACUCCAGAAGUCAUUUUCUACAAUCUCCCCAUCCCCAGGCAGCCUUGCCCCACUGUGCAUUUAUCACCAGCCCAGAGAUUUCCACUGGAGCUAGCUGGAAUUUCUACAAGGCAGCAGCCAGAGGUGGUGGUGGGCUCUGUGGCAGCAGGUGGAGAGGAAAGGCUCUUUCUGGGCUGAGCAUCAAGCUGGAAAAAACAUUGCUGAAGACCCCACCACCAGCCCUCAGGUCUAUUGCAGAUGCACCUCUCUGUGCUGGAGGGAGAGAGCUUGGCGAGGGAGCUCAGUUGGAAGCGGUGAAACAAGCAUCAUUCUAUUGUUGAGCUGCCUCGCCAGCUGCUGACAAGGGAGGCUUUGCAGACAGACUGAACCUAUGGAGAGAUGAAAGUCGCUCAGAUAUAGACACACACACUCCCAGAGUUUCCUGUGCUUAAGCUGUUUGGAAGCUCUUGUCAUACGCACCUCGAGCAAAGAGAAAGGAGGCGAGCGGGAAUGACUGCUGGAAGUUGAGCAUGUUUCCCCAACGCUGGCGCUGCUCUGUAAUUCUCCUCCUUCACUAAGGAAGCUUUCUUUCAAAAUAAUUGGGGAGUGGCAUGACUCACAAUCACAGUGCCUUCACUCCCCGAGGAACAAGAAGUUAAUGGGCUUGCUGUAGGGUGACUAGGGGAAUUUGCCCCUCGGUGGGGAUCUUCCCAGACCCCCCGGGGACUGCCGCGUGCUAGCUAAUGUGGGCCAGCACCAGUGUGAGGCCAGCCCUCUGAGCCUUGGAAGCAUCUGGUGAGCUUUGUGCUCUCUGUGCAAGUGGUUGGCAUCCUAUAGGCAUAACCGUAGGCUUUCAGAGUGGGCACAGGCCAAAUGUCCUCCCCAUGGUGGAGAUUAACCGGGCUGGGAUCCCAUUACAGGAGAGUCUGUGAUGCUAGUUAACUCAUGCUGGUUCAUCUGCUCAUCUUGGCUCUGCUGUCACCUUCUCAGCCCCCUCCCUGUCUCCCUUAAUUUGAUCAUCUUGGCCCCCUCCCCUGUCGGGGCUAGAGGCUGCCCCAGGUCCCCAUCCUCCCAGACUUACCUUCAUCUCUGCUGAUCACACAGCACACUCUGUGUCUUUUUAUUUUCCUGCCUCAUCCAGUAGGUUCUGAGAUCCUUGAGGGUCCUCUCCACACUUUGUUAAACCAAGAAUACAAAUUGCUCAAAAGCAGGGCAGGGCUGGGUCCAGGGUGAGCAAGGAAGGCAUCCAGGGUGCAAAAUUCAAGGAGAUACACACUCUCGGGCUUCCACAAGCCCAGGUGGGCCCCUGAGAAUGAAUGCCUCCUGAAAACACUGGAAAACACCAGGUUGGGCUCACUGGAGUCCUGGCCCUGGGGCACGGAAAAGGAAAGAAUAUUAAUUGUUAAAAACCAACCAUGUAGAGACACUACACUAUUUCACUGAUCCUCAAAGUAAUCCUGUAGAAUAGGUACUGACAGCUUCAUUUACACAUAAAGAAAAUGAAGCUCGGUACAGUUUUGCACCUUGACAAUAGUCCCAGAACUAAUAUCACAGACCCGGAACAAACCCCAAUCUUCCUAACGCGGAGGCGCAUCAGACUGCCUCCAGCAACCGUCCGCAGCUGCUGUCCCAUGUCAGAGAAGAGUGCCUCUGAACGGGUGUCCUCUGAGGGGACAAAGGGCUUGGCCUCCUGGACAUGAGGGCCUGCUGCAGAGAACUAGCAGAGAAAAUGGAGAACAGACCCUCCUCCUCCAAGAGCAAAAGGUCCAACUUGGGAGCCGGGGAUACACAUGAGGAGUUCUAACACUUACUGACAAAUGCACAGACCAUUCUUGCACAAUUCCCAGCAGGCUAUCAGAAAGCAGGAACACUGAGUCCACUGAGCAGUUGCUUAGACUAAAGAUGCCAAGCAGUCAGUGCAAGGAGUUAGCUAAGACCAGCCUGUGGCAAGGUGGAGAUGCUGCCAUCAACCGAAGCAGAUGAAUGUUGUGGACUGCACGUCGUGACGGGGACAUGUGUGCUGAUGGGAUGCAGGGUAAGGGAACCAGGUGUCCACUUGCUGCCGUUGCUAUUUCUGUGCUCCAGACCAGCCUGGGGAACUGAGCUCUGCUCUGAAGCAGGCUCCUACUCCCCUUCCACCUCCUAUUCCAGGUGUCAAGGGUGGGAAAAACAUACCAGGUUGGAACAUCUUGAACUUCCCACCGGUUGUUCCAGGCAUUCGUCCGAAGCCACGUCAGGCCUAAUGCAGUUCCUUCAUCUCUAUACACCUGCCAAAUCUGAUUUAUUCUUCAAUAUUUGCUUAAAUGCUGCUUCCCCCUUCUCUCCUUCAGUCCCCACCACCCACUCUCUACUCUGGCCAAAUCAGUCUGCUGAUCUUAUCCCAUCACAAUUUCCUAUUAACAUUCCUUUUUCUUAUUUAUUCUUUCAACAUAUGGCUUUUCAGACUCUACUCUGUACCAGGCACUCUUCUACAAAGCUGCUGUAACUGCUGCAUCCUCAGUACCUGGAAUAGUGCCUGGUGCAGAGUAGAGGGAGACACUGACAUUCUGGUCAUGAUUUCCAUCUGUGCUUUGGCCUCACACACUGCAUCUUAAACUUUAAAAACUCAGCCUUUGCUUCAGCCUUAGGUCAUACCUCACCUCUUCCAUGGAGCCCUCCUUCAACUCAAGCAGGGUCGGUCACUCCUCAUGCUGGACUUUACUGUGAGCCAUGCAGUUGAUGCGUAUCAAACAUGACAUUUUCUUCUCUUUCUGUGUCUGUCCUCUCUCCCAAUGUAAGAUCCCAGGAGGGUGAGGACUCGUCUGUUUCGCCUGUAUGGUUCUGAAGCACCCAGCAGAGUUUUGCCACAGAUAAAUAAUAACAGCAUGUUAGGAAAAAAUAACAACUAGCAUUCAUUGCAUGCUUAUAAAGGACCAACUACUGUUCAAGAUACUUAAUAAGUAUCAGCUCACUUGAUCCUGACAACAAGCCUAUGGGGUUGGUAGGAGCUCAUGCAGGAAGCACAAACACAGGUGGAGGUGGCUACAGUGGCAGUGGCGGUGGCAGCAGAACUGAUAAUACCAUGUGCCAGGAUGAGCAGAGCCGGUGGGUUACAGAACGUGGGCUUUGGAGGAAGACCUGGAUUGGAGGCCUGGCUCCAUCAUCUAUCAGCCGGGUGACCUUGGGCAAGUGACUUCUCUUCCCUUGGCUUCAUUUCCUUCACUAUAAAAUGAGGAUAAUUCCAGCACCCGCCUCACAGAGCACAGAGGUGUGUGACAACUCUAUGAGCUGUGCAGACCACGCACCUCCAGCACAGAGCCUGACAUUGGUCUCAACAGUCAGCAGAUGGGAGUGUUUGCUGUUGUUAUUGUUGUUGUUAUUAUUGUAUCCCCCUUCCAAGAAUCACCCACACCUGUUUUCUGUUCCAUCCUGCCUCAGCUUCCCAUCCCCCGAUUACCCUCCUUCCACAUCCUCAAUCAGGUAGAGGAAAAUCUGAGUGCAAUAUACUGAGAAGACACUCUUCAGUCACUACCUUAUUCCUCCUCUUCCAACAAAUGAGCCCUGAAACAAAUAGAUCCCAGAUGUCACGACUUAUGUAUAAAAACCCAGGACCUUGGGACCAGAGAGGGAAUGGAAGCUCUGCUUGGGUGCUGAGAGAGCACUGAGGACUCAAAGAUAUGCAAAUCCAAGGGGGCAGCUCAGGAAGCCGGGCUACAUGUGAGAUUGUUAUCAUCUCUUUUCUGCUACUGCAGCGAUGAUGAUCGGCUGAGCUCUUUCAUUAGAAAUCUGAUGCUGCUGUUGAAAAAAAAAAAGAGAGAGAGAGAGAAAUACACAGCAGCCUCAAAAUGUGGGCACAAAGCGGUCUCCUGGGGAAAGCAGCUUUAUUUGUGUCGGCUACGAGUACUAAGGUCCUGUUCAUCCGCUGUUUAUUUGUGCUGUUUUGUUCCCCAGCACAUGACCUUUAUUCCAUCCACGUUUUGCAGGGUACCAGGAGUGCUAAACUCUUUGCAUUUCUCCUGCAUUUACAGCAGUUGGGAUCUAUGGCAGCCUCCUUCUUCCUGGCUUUCAUCUCUGCAUCCCUCCAUUUCUGCCUGCAGCAGUGAAGCAUCAAUUAUACACUCCAAUUAUGUGAUUACACAUAUUUUCACUAAUUAAUAAUUCUUGCCACUCAUCCUGCCAACUCCCAUUGGAGGGCUUCAGAGGGCACUGGAGAGGAUAACUCACAGCUCUGCCACCUGGGAGGGAAUGAGCAAGGCCUGAAGAAUUCCUGAUAUGAAAGGGAAACUGAGGCACCACAAGGUACUUCCUUGUGACAGAGGCAACCACUGAAUCCAAGACUUGCCUUUGUCUUGAUAGGGGAUUUGCUUGAGCAAAUAGAUCCAUUUGAUGUUGCUGCUGCCUGAAGAGGUGGCAGGAAGAAGAAAGUAGUUUAGCCCAGGGGUAGCACUUUGUAGGUGUUAAAUUGGCUAUCAUUAAGGCUCAAAUUUCUUCUUACUUAUAGAAAUCUGGAUUUUGGGGGUUACAUACCAUAGUGUGUCCUCCCCUCUUGAGACUCAGUAGCAUGCUGUGAAGAAAAGUUACUCUGUGAUUUGGAUAAAAACAUAGCUCUGUUCCCCAGAGUCAUACAGGAAUGAGAAGGCUGAGGCCUGGGAGGUGACCCAGUCCAGCCUACUCCAUUUUCAGAGACAGAGGCUUGAAACCCA
RNAcentral lists this long non-coding RNA (5844 nucleotides) under Homo sapiens (human). RNAcentral's name for it is "non-protein coding lnc-OAF-1:1". Lineage: Eukaryota; Metazoa; Chordata; Mammalia; Primates; Hominidae. The record is from RNAcentral.